Long non-coding RNA from Mizuhopecten yessoensis (Yesso scallop), 548 nucleotides. RefSeq lists it as uncharacterized. NCBI's taxonomy places the organism in Eukaryota, Metazoa, Mollusca, Bivalvia, Pectinida, Pectinidae. The record is from RefSeq and is a predicted model, not a curated record. The transcript has 2 exons.
AAAACACAUAACUCGGGGUUCGCGUCGCACACCUUCCCGCGAGGUCGACCCUCAUAGACUUGACAUUUUGGAUGAGUAAGAAAUUGAUUUGCCUCUUGUUUCCAUAACAACAAAGAAAACAGUAAAAUGAACAUGAUGAUAGUGACAACAGGAUGAUGAACACAACAGAAUCAAACAGGACAACAACAACAAAGACACAGUAAAAUGAAGAACACAAAUGAUAAAAGAGACACAAGGAUGAUGAAGACAACAGAACCAAACAGGACAAUCAUACCAAAAAGAACAAUGGAGACAACAUUUAAAUGAAGAUAACAAAUGAUAUAAGGGAUAACUGGAUGAUGAAGACAAACAUAACCAAACAGGACAACAACAACAAAUACAACAACAAAGACAACAGUACUAUGAAGACCACAGAUGAUAAUAAUAUCAACACGAUGAUGAAGACAACAGAACAUAAAAGGACAACAACACUAAAUACAACAUUAAAGACAACAGAAAAAUGAAGACCACAAAUGAUAAAAGAGACAACAGGAUGGUGAAGACAACAA